UGUAAAGGUUGUCUCCUGAGCCUGUCAAAAGGAGAGAAACUGUAAAAGGGCAGUUAGCCUUCACCCAUUGAAGGAAGGCCCCUAGUUGACGUCGGCAACCUCGUCGGUGGAGGAAGCCAAAAGUGGAGUAGGUCAAGGCUGACCGAACCACUCUAAAUCUCUGGUUUGCGUUUAUUUUCGAGCACUUUAUCAUUACUGCAAACCUCCUUCAUUGCUACUGCUCUCUGCGCUUUCACGAACAAAUUCUAAGUGCUGUUCUUCCAAAUCUGCAUUCAGACGUAAAUUCGUAUUUUCGUACAUUACAGUUUACGUUUACGUUUGAUUCUGCAGAACUGUCUUCCGUGCUUUUACGAACGAGUUUCUUUGCAGUUUACGCUUACAUUUUAAUCCUAUUAAUAACUGCAAUCUGUCCUCUAUGAUCUUACGAACGAGUUUCAACAUUUAGACGCAAAACUGCAUUCAGACGUAAAUCGGCUUUUCUCGCUCAAUCGUCAGAUUUCAGUUCACGUUUACGUCUUGAUUUCAACUGCAUACUGCCUUCUGCGAGUAUACAAACAAGUUUCAAAGUUUAGACGUAAAUCUGCGUUUAGACGUAAAUCUGCGUUUAGACGUAAAACUACGUUUAGACGUAAAUCUGCGUUUAGACGUAAAACUGCGUUUAGACGUAAAACUGCGUUUAGACGUAAAACUGCGUUUAGACGUAAAUCUGCGUUUAGACGUAAAUCUGCGUUUAGACGUAAAUCUGCGUUUAGACGUAAAUCUGAGUUUAGACGCAAAACUGCACUUAGACGCAAAACUGCGCUUAGAUGCAAAACUGCGCUUAGAUGCAAAACUGCGCUUAGACGCAAAACUGCGCUUAAACGCAAUCUGCGCUUAGACGCAAACUGCACUUAGAUACAAACUGAGAAUUUGCUUUUGCAUCAUAAUAGUUUUUGAACGAACGCAGCUUUUGGUUCUUAAUCGCUGUAAGAUUUCCGCUGCACUAAUUCACCCCCCCCCCUCUUAGUGCUCUCGAUCCUA
This 1020-nucleotide long non-coding RNA is filed under the name Musa acuminata (dwarf banana). RNAcentral describes it as "long non-coding RNA (MACU_LNC009900)". The record is from RNAcentral. Lineage: Eukaryota; Viridiplantae; Streptophyta; Magnoliopsida; Zingiberales; Musaceae.